RNAcentral lists this ribosomal RNA (128 nucleotides) under Penstemon centranthifolius. RNAcentral's name for it is "partial 5.8S ribosomal RNA". It matches the Rfam family "5.8S ribosomal RNA", at positions 30 to 154 of the family's 154-position model. Rfam says of the family: 5.8S ribosomal RNA (5.8S rRNA) is a component of the large subunit of the eukaryotic ribosome. It is transcribed by RNA polymerase I as part of the 45S precursor that also contains 18S and 28S rRNA. Lineage: Eukaryota; Viridiplantae; Streptophyta; Magnoliopsida; Lamiales; Plantaginaceae. The record is from RNAcentral.
GCAUCGAUGAAGAACGUAGCGAAAUGCGAUACUUGGUGUUAAUUGCAGAAUCCCGUGAACCAUCGAGUCUUUGAACGCAAGUUGCGCCCGAAGCCAUUAGGCCGAGGGCACGUCUGCCUGGGCGUCAC